Molecule: long non-coding RNA, 1144 nt
Organism: Rhipicephalus sanguineus (brown dog tick)
Lineage: Eukaryota; Metazoa; Arthropoda; Arachnida; Ixodida; Ixodidae
Exons: 5
Source: RefSeq, a predicted model, not a curated record
UGGUUUAAACGAGAAACUCCUCAGGGCGCACCAGUGCUGGGCGCGCCAGCGAGCGCCGCGCCCUCUGCACGCUUCAUCGUAAGCUAUUCCCGCCUGGCAGGCUCGCUGCCUCGCUCACGACACUAGGCAAACCUUUCUAGCCACGAUAGUUCUGCGUUCGUGUGUGUGUCGUCGUGCGAGUUUUGUUCAUACGGUCGACUUUUACCGCGCUGCCUCGCAUUGUGUGUUGUAUGUUGUGGUUACUGACGUAAGCGCAAGUUCGUCACGCAGUGUUAUACGCGGUAGCAGGUAAAUAGUCACCAGAUGCCGGCCGUGCGACUCCAAUCUGCGACUGCUUUGUUCAGUGUGACCGACGGAGGCGAUUCAUAGUUUUGAAGAACACGUUCUUCAAAUGUUUCCGCCCGUCAGUAGGGUGCCUUGAUGCGCGUUUUGUCCGCUCACAUCGAUGCACACUACACGGCAGUGAGUAGCAGCGCUGCAAUCCUUUCUCGACGACGCGUUCUGUGGCCCUGGAAAAUGCCUUGACGCUCGGGGACGGCCGGUAGCUCGGCGAUUCCUCGCUUUGCGCACCAUUGAAAACCGGCGGUCAUCCAGCAGUGUACGCUGCCAGCGUAUUUUCAUUAUUUCCAGAGGUAGCAAACAGCAGUGCUACGACAAACAGUGGAGUGCUGACCAUGCAGUCCAGAAGGUGGCCGAGGCAAGUAUGCUAUAGGAGGUGCUUAUUCAGGCAGAAGAAAUAAGCAUCUGCAGCCAACGUAAAGGAAGCAUCUUCAAAAAGCAGUGCUACAAGGAUGUGAGCAGCAGUUUCCCUUCAAUGAACGGGUCAAAUUCAUGGAAGCCACGUGCCUGCUGCUUCUGGCCUACACAAAUAUGCAGCCACCAUAGUAAAGUUCUUGCAAAGACAUUCUACUCAAACUUGCUCAAAGGCGGAAGGAAGGCACGCACAGAUGGACGCACAGAAAUCAUGGGGCUGCCGUAGAAGCUGUGAAUAAGCAUUAACCUGUGAACGUACAGAAAGGAGCGAAGUGGAGCUGUCCAUGGGCAGUGCACACAGUUUCAUAAGCAGGCUUGCAACACUUUUGACAAAUAUGUUCCUGAAUACAUCUGCCAAAGUGGCAUUUAAAGAAGCAUGUAGUAGUGUACU